Molecule: small nucleolar RNA, 126 nt
Filed under: Procavia capensis (Cape rock hyrax)
Lineage: Eukaryota; Metazoa; Chordata; Mammalia; Hyracoidea; Procaviidae
Description: Small Cajal body specific RNA 23 (ENSPCAG00000020399.1)
Rfam family: Small Cajal body specific RNA 23
About the family: scaRNAs are a specific class of small nuclear RNAs which localise to the Cajal bodies and guide the modification of RNA polymerase II transcribed spliceosomal RNAs U1, U2, U4, U5 and U12.
Source: RNAcentral
CAGCUCACUGGGGCAUGGUCCUCUCUCAGGUGGUCCUGACCUGCCCUCUGUGAGCAAGAGAAAGAGGACUGAUUUGGGGGCAUCCCAUCCAAGUGGCUGCGGGAUACCACGGUUUUCAGUACAACA